GGAGAGGUGGCAGAGUGGUCGAUUGCGGCGGUCUUGAAAACCGUUGUGCCGGAAGGUACCGGGGGUUCGAAUCCCUCUCUCUGCG
RNAcentral lists this transfer RNA (85 nucleotides) under Niabella sp. RNAcentral's name for it is "tRNA-Ser". It matches the Rfam family "tRNA". From Rfam's summary of the family: Transfer RNA (tRNA) molecules are approximately 80 nucleotides in length. Their secondary structure includes four short double-helical elements and three loops (D, anti-codon, and T loops). Further hydrogen bonds mediate the characteristic L-shaped molecular structure. tRNAs have two regions of fundamental functional importance: the anti-codon, which is responsible for specific mRNA codon recognition, and the 3' end, to which the tRNAs corresponding amino acid is attached (by aminoacyl-tRNA synthetases). tRNAs cope with the degeneracy of the genetic code in two manners: having more than one tRNA (with a specific anti-codon) for a particular amino acid; and 'wobble' base-pairing, i.e. permitting non-standard base-pairing at the 3rd anti-codon position. The record is from RNAcentral. Lineage: Bacteria; Pseudomonadati; Bacteroidota; Chitinophagia; Chitinophagales; Chitinophagaceae.